Molecule: ribosomal RNA, 465 nt
Filed under: uncultured bacterium
Lineage: Bacteria
Description: partial 16S ribosomal RNA
Rfam family: Bacterial small subunit ribosomal RNA
Source: RNAcentral
GACGAACGCUGGCGGCGUGCUUAACACAUGCAAGUCGAACGGAAAGGCCCUGCUUGCAGGGUACUCGAGUGGCGAACGGGUGAGUAACACGUGGGUGAUCUGCCCUGCACUUCGGGAUAAGCCUGGGAAACUGGGUCUAAUACCGGAUAGGAGCCAUUUUUAGUGUGAUGGUUGGAAAGUUUUUUCGGUGUAGGAUGAGCUCGCGGCCUAUCAGCUUGUUGGUGGGGUAAUGGCCUACCAAGGCGGCGACGGGUAGCCGGCCUGAGAGGGUGGACGGCCACAUUGGGACUGAGAUACGGCCCAGACUCCUACGGGAGGCAGCAGGGGGGAAUAUUGCACAAUGGGCGCAAGCCUGAUGCAGCGACGCCGCGUGGGGGAUGACGGCCUUCGGGUUGUAGACUCCUUUCGCUAGGGACGAAGCUUUUUGUGACGGUACCUAGAGAAGAAGCACCGGCUAACUACGUG